Molecule: ribosomal RNA, 254 nt
Filed under: uncultured bacterium
Lineage: Bacteria
Description: partial 16S ribosomal RNA
Rfam family: Bacterial small subunit ribosomal RNA
Source: RNAcentral
UACGUAGGGGGCUAGCGUUGUCCGGAAUCAUUGGGCGUAAAGAGCGUGUAGGCGGUCCGGUAAGUCCGCUGUGAAAGUCGGGGGCUCAACCCUCGAAUGCCGGUGGAUACUGUCGGGCUAGAGUACGGAAGAGGCGAGUGGAAUUCCCGGUGUAGCGGUGAAAUGCGCAGAUAUCGGGAAGAACACCCGUGGCGAAGGCGGCUCUCUGGGACGGUACUGACGCUGAGACGCGGAAAGCGUGGGGAGCGAACAGG